This 3841-nucleotide long non-coding RNA is filed under the name Citrus x clementina. Its description in RNAcentral is "Citrus clementina (C. clementina) long non-coding RNA (CCLE_LNC006266)". Lineage: Eukaryota; Viridiplantae; Streptophyta; Magnoliopsida; Sapindales; Rutaceae. The record is from RNAcentral.
CUAUAGCCUUGGGGGGUGGGGCUGGCCUACUUCGUCCGCCAGACUCGGAAUGCCGCUAGAGUUUGCUAGGGGUCUCCGUGUGCCAAUAAUAGCCCACGGCCAAAGCCGCGCCUAAAAAUACCCGCCCGAAGGCCGGGGCGCCAAGUUCGUCCAGCAGAAAAAGGCCACAAAAACGGGUGGGCUAUAGCCUUGGGGGUGAUGCUGGCCAACUUCGUCCGCCGAACUCGGAAUGCCGCGACAUUUUGUGAGGGUCCUCCGUGUCGCAAAAAUAGGCUGCGGGCAAUGCCGCGCCCAAAAAUAACCCCCCGACGGCCGGGGCGCCAAGUUCGUCCAGCGGAAAAAGGCCACGAAAACGGGUGGGCUAUAGCCUUGGGGGUGAUGCUGGCCUACUUCAUCCGCCGGACUCGGAAUGCCGCGAGACUUUGUGAGGGGCCUCCGUGUGCCAAAAAAAGGCCGCGGGCAAAGCCGCGCCCAAAAUUAACCGCACGAAGGCCGGGGCGCCAAGUUCGUCCAGCGGAAAAAGGCCACAAAAACGGGUGGGCUAUAGCUUUGGGGGGUGGGGCUGGCCAACUUCGUCCGCCGGACUCGGAAUGCCGCGAGACUUUGCGAGGGGCCUCCGUGUGCCAAAAAUAGGCCGCGGGCAAAGCCGCGCCCAAAAUUAACCGCCCGAAGGCCGGGGCGCCAAGUUCGUCCAGCGGAAAAAGGCCACAAAAACGGGUGGGCUAUAGCCUUGGGGGGUGGGGCUGGCCCACUUCGUCCGCCGGACUCGGAAUGCCGCGAGACUUUGCGAGGGGUCUCCGUGUGCCAAUAUUAGGCCCCGACCAAAGUUGCACCUAAAAAUAACCGCCCGAAGGCCGGGGCACCAAGUUCGUCCAGCGGAAAAAGGCCACAAAAACGGGUGGGCUAUAGCCUUGGGGGUGAUGCUGGCCAACUUCGUCCGCCGGACUCGGAAUGCCGCGACACUUUGUGAGGGUCCUCUGUGUGCCAAAAAUAGGCCGCGGGCAAUGCCGCGCCCAAAAAUAACCGCCCGACGGCCGGGGCGCCAAGUUCGUCUAGCGGAAAAAGGCCACGAAACGAGGUGGGCUAUAGCCUUGGGGGUGAUCCUGGCCAACUUCGUCCGCCGGACUCGGAAUGCCACGAGACUUUGUGAGGGGCCUCCGUGUGCCAAAAAUAGGCCGUGGGUAAAGCCGCGCCCAAAAAUAACCGCCCAAAGGCCGGGGCGCCGAGGUCGUCCAGCGGAAAAAGGCCCCAAAAACGGGUGGGGUAUAGCCUUGGGGGGUGGGGCUGGCCAACUACGUCCGCUGGACUCGGAAUGCCGCGAUACUUUGCGAGGGGCCUCCGUGUGCCAAAAAUAGGACACGGGCAAAGCCGCGCCCAAAAAUAACCGCCCGAAGGCCGGGGCGCCAAGUUCGUCCAGCGGAAAAAGGCCACAAAAACGGGUGGGCUAUAGCCUUGGGGGGUGGAGCUGGCCAACUUCGUCUACCGGACUCUGAAUGCCACGAGACUUUGCGAGGGGCCUCCGUGUGCCAAAAUAGGCCACAGACAAAGCCGCGCCCAAAAUUAACCGCCCGAAGGCCGGGGCGCCAAGUUCGUCCAGCGGAAAAAGGCCACAAAAACGGGUGGGCUAUAGCCUUGGGGGGUGAUGCUGGCCGACUUCGUCCACCGGACUCUGAAUGCUGCGAGACUUUGCGAGGGGCCUUCGUGUGCCAAAAAUAGGCCGCGGGCAAAGCCGCGCCCAAAAAUAACCGUCCGAAGGCCGGGGCGCCAAGUUCGUCCAGCGGAAAAAGGCCACAAAAACGGGUGGGCUAUAGCCUUGGGGGGUGGGGCUGAUCAACUUCGUCCGCCGGUCUCGGAAUGCCGCGAGACUUUGCGAGGGGCCUCCGUGUGCCAAAAAUAGGCCGCGGGCAAAGCCGCGCCCAAAAUUAACCGCCCGACGGCCGGGCCGCCAAGUUCGUCCAGCGGAAAAAGGCCACGAAAACGGGUGGGCUAUAGCCUUGGGGGUGAUGCUGGCCUACUUCGUCCGCCGGACUCGGAAUGCCGCGAGACUUUGCGAGGGGCCUCCGUGUGCCAAAAAUAGGCCGCGGGCAAAGCCGCGCCCAAAAUUAACCGCACGAAGGCCGGGGCGCCAAGUUCGUCCAGCGGAAAAAGGCCACAAAAACGGGUGGGCUAUAGCCUUGGGGGGUGGGGCUGGCCAACUUCGUCCGCCGGACUCGGAAUGCCGCGAGACUUUGCGAGGGGCCUCCGUGUGCCAAAAAUAGGCCGCGGGCAAUGCCGCGCCCAAAAAUCACCGCCCGACGGCCCGGGGCGCCAAGUUCGUCCAGCGGAAAAAGGCCACGAAAACGGGUGGGCUAUAGCCUUGGGGGUGAUGCUGGCCAACUUCGUCCGCCGGGACUCGGAAUGCCGCAAGACUUUGCGAGGGGCCUCCGUGUGCCAAAAAUAGGCCGCGGACAAAGCCGCGCCCAAAAUUAACGGCCCGAAGGCCGGGGCGCCGAGUUCGCCCAGCGGAAAAAGGCCACAAAAACGGGUGGGCUAUAGCCUUGGGGGGUGGGGCUGGUCAACUUCGUCCGCCGGUCUCGGAAUGCCGCGAGACUUUGCGAGGGGCCUCCGUGUGCCAAAAAUAGGCCGCGGGCAAAGCCGCGCCCAAAAUUAACCGCCCGACGGCCGGGCCGCCAAGUUCGUCUAGCGGAAAAAGGACACAAAAACGGGUGGGCUAUAGCCUUGGGGGGUGAUGCUGGCCAACUUCGUCCGCCGGACUCGGAAUGCCGUGAGACUUUGCGAGGGGCCUCCGUGUGCCAAACAUAGGCCAUGGGAUGUUUAAAAGGUUUGUGGUUCAAAAUUUUAUGUUAUCUAGUGAUAAAAUUUUGUAGUGCAUUUUAUAGAUAGGUAGCAGCAGCAAGUUCCGGGGCGCCAAGUUUGUCCAGCGGAAAAAGGCCACAAAAACGGGUGGGCUAUAGCCUUGGGGGGUGAUGCUGGCCAACUUCGUCCGCCGGACUCGGAAUGCCGCGAGACUUUUCGAGAGGCCUCCGUGUGCCAAAAAUAGGCCGCGGACAAAGCCGCGCCCAAAAUUAACCGCCUGAAGGCCGGGGCGCCAAGUUCGUCCAGCGGAAAAAGGCCACAAAAAUGGGUGGGCUAUAGCCUUGGGGGGUGGGGCUGGACAACUUCGUCCGCCGGACUCGGAAUGCUGUGAGACUUUGCGAGGGGCCUCCGUGUGCCAAAAAUAGGCCGCGGGGAAAGCCGUGUCCAAAAAUAACGGCCCGACGGCCGGGGCGCCAAGUUCGUCCAGCGGAAAAAGGCCACAAAAACGGGUGGGUUGUAGCCUUGGGGGGUGAUGCUGGCCAACUUCGUCCGCCGGACUCGGAAUGCCGCGACACUUUACGAGGGGCCUCCGUGUGCCAAAAAAAGGCCGCGGGCAAAGCCGCGCCCAAAAUUAACCGCCCGAAGGCCGGGGCGCCAAGUUCGUCCAGCGGAAAAAGGCCACAAAAACGGGUGGGCUAUAGCCUUGGGGGGUGGGGCUGGCCAACUUCGUCCGCCAGACUCGGAAUGCCGCUAGAGUUUGCGAGGGGUCUCCGUGUGCCAAUAAUAGGCCACGGCCAAAGCCGCGCCAAAAAAUAACCGCCCGAAGGCCGGGGCGCCAAGUUCGUCCAGCAGAAAAAGGCCACAAAAACGGGUGGGCUAUAGCCUUGGUGGGUGGGACUGGCCAACUUCAUCCGCCGGACUCGGAACACUACGAGACUUUGCAAGUGGCCUCCGUGUACCAUACAAAGGCCACGGACAAAGCCGCGCCCAAAAAUAACCGCCCGAAGGCCGGGGCGCCAAUUUCAUCCAGCGGAAAAAGGCCACA